Molecule: long non-coding RNA, 141 nt
Organism: Dioscorea cayenensis subsp. rotundata (Guinea yam)
Lineage: Eukaryota; Viridiplantae; Streptophyta; Magnoliopsida; Dioscoreales; Dioscoreaceae
Exons: 3
Source: RefSeq, a predicted model, not a curated record
ACAAGAGGUGCAGUGUUUGUGGGACUAUUGGACACAACAAGAGGUUCCAUGGCUCGCAAAGACAAAGGACAACUGGAGAACAACAAAAUGAAGAAGAUGCUAGACAGCAUAUGGACCCCAUGGACACAAUUAAUCCGGAAG